GGCUUUAUAGUUUAAACAGAAUUUUGAAUUGCAAAUUCAAGGGUAUAUUAGUUAUUAAAGCUU
Molecule: transfer RNA, 63 nt
Filed under: Tropostreptus sigmatospinus
Lineage: Eukaryota; Metazoa; Arthropoda; Diplopoda; Spirostreptida; Spirostreptidae
Description: tRNA-Cys
Source: RNAcentral